Molecule: ribosomal RNA, 955 nt
Filed under: Stachybotrys cylindrospora
Lineage: Eukaryota; Fungi; Ascomycota; Sordariomycetes; Hypocreales; Stachybotryaceae
Description: SSU rRNA
Rfam family: Eukaryotic small subunit ribosomal RNA
Source: RNAcentral
AACUGCGAAUGGCUCAUUAUAUAAGUUAUCGUUUAUUUGAUAGUGCCUUACUACUUGGAUAACCGUGGUAAUUCUAGAGCUAAUACAUGCUAUAAGCCCCGACUUCGGAAGGGGCGUAUUUAUUAGAUUAAAAGCCAAUGCCCUCUGGGCUCACUGGUGAAUCAUGAUAACUUCACGAAUCGCACGGCCUUGCGCCGGCGAUGGCUCAUUCAAAUUUCUUCCCUAUCAACUUUCGAUGUUUGGGUAGUGGCCAAACAUGGUUGCAACGGGUAACGGAGGGUUAGGGCUCGACCCCGGAGAAGGAGCCUGAGAAACGGCUACUACAUCCAAGGAAGGCAGCAGGCGCGCAAAUUACCCAAUCCCGACUCGGGGAGGUAGUGACAAUAAAUACUGAUACAGGGCUCUUUCGGGUCUUGUAAUCGGAAUGAGUACAAUUUAAAUCUCUUAACGAGGAACAAUUGGAGGGCAAGUCUGGUGCCAGCAGCCGCGGUAAUUCCAGCUCCAAUAGCGUAUAUUAAAGUUGUUGUGGUUAAAAAGCUCGUAGUUGAACCUUGGGCCUGGCUGGCCGGUCCGCCUCACCGCGUGUACUGGUCCGGCCGGGCCUUUCCCUCUGUGGAACCUCAUGCCCUUCACUGGGUGUGCUGGGGAAACAGGACUUUUACUUUGAAAAAAUUAGAGUGCUUCAGGCAGGCCUAUGCUCGAAUACAUUAGCAUGGAAUAAUGAAAUAGGACGUGCGGUUCUAUUUUGUUGGUUUCUAGGACCGCCGUAAUGAUUAAUAGGGACAGUCGGGGGCAUCAGUAUUCAAUUGUCAGAGGUGAAAUUCUUGGAUCUAUUGAAGACUAACUACUGCGAAAGCAUUUGCCAAGGAUGUUUUCAUUAAUCAGGAACGAAAGUUANGGGAUCGAAAACGAUCAGAUACCGUUGUAGUCUNACCAUUAAACUAUNCCNNNCUAG